GAUGAACGCUGGCGGCGUGCUUAACACAUGCAAGUCGAACGGAAAGGCUCCUGCUUGCAGGGGUACUCGAGUGGCGAACGGGUGAGUAACACGUGGGUGAUCUGCCCUGCACUUCGGGAUAAGCCUGGGAAACUGGGUCUAAUACCGGAUAGGACGAUGGUUUGGAUGCCAUUGUGGAAAGUUUUUUCGGUGUGGGAUGAGCUCGCGGCCUAUCAGCUUGUUGGUGGGGUAAUGGCCUACCAAGGCGUCGACGGGUAGCCGGCCUGAGAGGGUGUACGGCCACAUUGGGACUGAGAUACGGCCCAGACUCCUACGGGAGGCAGCAGUGGGGAAUAUUGCACAAUGGGCGCAAGCCUGAUGCAGCGACGCCGCGUGGGGGAUGACGGCCUUCGGGUUGUAAACUCCUUUCGCUAGGGACGAAGCGCAAGUGACGGUACCUGGAGAAGAAGCACCGGCUAACUACAUG
This 466-nucleotide ribosomal RNA is filed under the name uncultured bacterium. Its description in RNAcentral is "partial 16S ribosomal RNA". It matches the Rfam family "Bacterial small subunit ribosomal RNA", at positions 28 to 507 of the family's 1533-position model. The record is from RNAcentral.